This is a long non-coding RNA of Argiope bruennichi, 730 nucleotides long. RefSeq lists it as uncharacterized. The record is from RefSeq and is a predicted model, not a curated record. NCBI's taxonomy places the organism in Eukaryota, Metazoa, Arthropoda, Arachnida, Araneae, Araneidae. The transcript is spliced from 2 exons.
CUCAAUCAAUCAAUCAAAGUGAUACAAUCAAACAUACUGUUUUGAGUGAUCAACAAUCCUGUUUGUGACUUUUUCGUUCCUAUGGGAUAACAGCGUUUGUCGCUGUAUCCCUCACUGUUUAUAUUCAAGUUCAAUCGUAUUUGUGUAGUGAAUAUCAGAAAAGAACAGUGAGCAUGAAUCUCAAAAGAAUGACUUCAAGCAAAUGAGCCCAAAUUUACUGCUUCGAUUAUGUUUAUCCUUUUUUUACAAACCGUCACACGUCUGAAACCGUUACUGAUUUUUAAAAGAAAUAAGCAUGAAAAAAUUAUUCGAUGCAUUAAAGGCGGUUUUGAAUUCAAACAAUGAUUUAGAUCUGGACAUUGACCUGAUUGUUGAAGUCUACUUAGAGAAGCCAUAUUAUUCAUUAUAUUACUAAUUACUGACUGGACAUUUUUGUUGAGUGACCGUGAAUUGCUCUUUGCAACUCAAAAGACUGAUAAAGACUUGCUGUUGUUCUAAUGUGAAAUGGACUUGAUAAUGAAAUAAAAUUGAAUCUGCCAAAGAAAAGACCUGUCAGAAUAUUUUUGAAUCUGCAGAUAUUUCAAAUAAAAUGUAAGAAAAACUAUGAAAAUUAGUUUUUCAGAAAAGUUAUCAAUAUGAAUGAAUAAACAAAAAAAUCUUGGCCUUAAUCUAAAAGAUCUAUAUAUAUCUUUGUUUAUUUAUAGGAUUUGAAUAAAUAAUUUACUAAUUC